This 756-nucleotide ribosomal RNA is filed under the name uncultured bacterium. RNAcentral describes it as "bacterial SSU rRNA". It matches the Rfam family "Bacterial small subunit ribosomal RNA", at positions 28 to 776 of the family's 1533-position model. The record is from RNAcentral.
AUUGAACGCUGGCGGCCGUCUUAACACAUGCAAGUCGAACGGUAACGGGUUGAAAGCUUGCUUUCAAUGCUGACGAGUGGCGGACGGGUGAGUAAGGCUUGGGGAUCUGGCUUUUGGAGGGGGAUAACCAUUGGAAACGAUGGCUAAUACCGCAUAGUAUCGAGAGAUGAAAGGGGUGGGAAACCACUUGCCAAGGGAUGAACCCAAGUGAGAUUAGGUAGUUGGUGGGGUAAGGGCCUACCAAGCCGACGAUCUCUAGCUGGUCUGAGAGGAUGGCCAGCCACACUGGGACUGAGACACGGCCCAGACUCCUACGGGAGGCAGCAGUGGGGAAUAUUGCGCAAUGGGGGGAACCCUGACGCAGCCAUGCCGCGUGAAUGAAGAAGGCCUUCGGGUUGUAAAGUUCUUUCGGUGGUGAGGAAGGUGGUAGUGUUAAUAGCGCUAUUGUUUGACGUUAGCCACAGAAGAAGCACCGGCUAACUCCGUGCCAGCAGCCGCGGUAAUACGGAGGGUGCGAGCGUUAAUCGGAGUAACUGGGCGUAAAGGGCACGCAGGCGGGACGUUAAGUGAGAUGUGAAAGCCCCGGGCUUAACCUGGGAACAGCAUUUCAUACUGGCGUACUAGAGUACUUUAGGGAGGGGUAGAAUUCCACGUGUAGCGGUGAAAUGCGUAGAGAUGUGGAGGAAUACCGAAGGCGAAGGCAGCCCCUUGGGAAGAUACUGACGCUCAUGUGCGAAAGCGUGGGGAGCAAACAGG